UACGUAGGGUGCGAGCGUUGUCCGGAAUUAUUGGGCGUAAAGAGCUUGUAGGCGGUUUGUCGCGUCUGCUGUGAAAAUCCGGGGCUCAACCCCGGACUUGCAGUGGGUACGGGCAGACUAGAGUGUGGUAGGGGAGACUGGAACUCCUGGUGUAGCGGUGAAAUGCGCAGAUAUCAGGAGGAACACCGAUGGCGAAGGCAGGUCUCUGGGCCACUACUGACGCUGAGAAGCGAAAGCAUGGGGAGCGAACAGG
Molecule: ribosomal RNA, 253 nt
Filed under: uncultured bacterium
Lineage: Bacteria
Description: partial 16S ribosomal RNA
Rfam family: Bacterial small subunit ribosomal RNA
Source: RNAcentral